This 67-nucleotide transfer RNA is filed under the name Antodynerus aff. limbatus YN. RNAcentral describes it as "tRNA-Ile". Lineage: Eukaryota; Metazoa; Arthropoda; Insecta; Hymenoptera; Vespidae. The record is from RNAcentral.
AAUGAUGUGCCUGAAUUAAAAAGGAUUAUUUUGAUAGAAUAAAUUAUGUAAAAAUUUACCUUCAUUU